Molecule: non-coding RNA, 136 nt
Organism: Ornithorhynchus anatinus (platypus)
Lineage: Eukaryota; Metazoa; Chordata; Mammalia; Monotremata; Ornithorhynchidae
Source: Rfam
UCCCUCUCAGGGUCGCACCUGGAGAGUUUCCAGGACUCUACCAGUCUUGGCUAUGGGUCAGAGUCAAGCAGAGGUCUACCCAUUCCAUUCCUAGCUUGGCCAGUGGCUAGCGAGUGGAAGGCAAUUUGUUACAAGU